This is a long non-coding RNA of Etheostoma spectabile (orangethroat darter), 2997 nucleotides long. RefSeq lists it as uncharacterized. The record is from RefSeq and is a predicted model, not a curated record. The transcript is spliced from 2 exons. NCBI's taxonomy places the organism in Eukaryota, Metazoa, Chordata, Actinopteri, Perciformes, Percidae.
CCCCCCAUCUUUAUACAGGACCCUGUACAGUUUACUGGUCAUGUUAAAACUCAGACACCAUCCAACCCUUCCAACCCUGAGACACACCUUCACAAAAGGAGUGAAGUAUUUGCCCGUUUGUUGCUCCACUUUGUGUUUUUGCACACUGUAAAUGUUUGUUUUAUUACAUUUCCCCCCCCCCCCUUGAAAAGGCUUAAUACCAAAUGUUGGGCUUGGGACGAAGUUGCGAUGGUAACCCCCAAUGUCAAUUGUUUUAUUUGCCUUAGAUCAUAACUGCUUGUAGAUUCUGCUCCUACAACAACAAACCUUAACUAUUAACUUUUUAAAGAAAAAACACACAAAUCAGAUUAGUAGGAUUUUUUUUUUUUCUCAUUUCACAUAGCUGUGAAAUUUUAGAGUGAAAACACGACAAAAUAUUAUUGCUGCAACACAACAUGUAUGUUGUGUUAAAAUCCCAGUCGAUAGAACUGGAACCUGCUAUCACACCCUACAAACAACUGAAAGGUAGGAAUGUUUACGGGGAUGUGAGAGGUUUGUUUACAACAACAGGUCCAUAUUUUCAAUUCUGAUCAGCCGAGAAACACCAAAAUAAAAUAAAAUAGCUGCAUUUUUAAAGAUUAAAAAGUACAGAUUGGGAGUUUUUUUUUUAAAUAAUGUGACGACACUAAAUUGGUGUGUUUCUUAUGGGAACUAGAAUAUGAAAUCUUCUCUUGCCACAGCUGCUUGUAAAUAACAACAGCACUGAUAAUAUCGAAGACAGAUUAUUUUAGGGGGCUUUCAGAUUGACACUUGUUUUGUAGCAAAUCUCAACCAGAAAGCUACCUCACGGUGCUGCGUUAACGUUGAUGAGCUGCUGUGUUCACUUCUAUCAUAUUUUUUCUUACACAAAACAGGUCUUGAACCUCUAUUUAGUUGCUAAAUAUUUUACUUGCAGAGGUAUCACGUUCAUCUUGUCCGAUUUAUGGUCAUUGUGAUUUAAAAGAUGCAACUUGUGAAAUUUCUGCUGCACGAUGAAGUAAUGAAAUGAUUGGUCAUGUCAAAUCUGUGCUCAGAUCUCAAAAAUGAAUAAGCACUGCAAACAAAUUAGCCCCCUACUCUUUGAAUUGCUUUGAAAAAAAUAGUUUAAGACAUAAAAAUAUAUUUCAAACACAAUCCUGACAUUGAUCAACGAUGCUCUUAAUACUUUUAGCUUUUUGAGUCGAGCUUUCAAACACCUACGGUCUUAAGAGCAUCGCCCCGUUUCCCCUUACCGCACUGGCCAAACAAUCUCCCCAGAAUGAGUGACUUAUGCUCUGUCGACAAUAAGAUAUUUAAUUAUUGUUGCCAGAGGGAAAAAAAAACUUCCUGAGAAGAAUCUGCCAAUGAUUUGUGACCAGGAGCCGAAUAUAUUUAGUAAAGGCUCCCUAUGAAAUUGGUUGCCGGAGCCUCUUAACGCCAGAUUCCUGUGGACUUUGUAUAUUUGUGCCAGAUGAUUAGAACUAAUAGCCCUAUAUGUAAGAUGUAACUCAGGGCUAUGCUAUGCAUCCAGCAGUACCUCUCAAACUGAAGACUCUCAGAGUCACGUCGCAAGAGCAAAACCAAACGGCAAGCUAUUGGUAUGGAAAUCCUUUCUAAAGCACAGGUAAUGUAUGUACUUACAUACAUAUAUGUUGUUGUUGUAGAAGUCCCACGUCUUGGUGCAUUUUUGAUAAAACUGCUGCUAGCCUUUUGCUUUAUUAUCAAAAAAUAAAACUGAAAUUAGUCUAACUUUUUAGGUGCCAAAAGGUGCAAAAAGUGUUUAUUUAAAUUUGUUUGACAUUUUCAUUUUGUUUAGUUGUAAGGCUUUUUAAGAGAGGCUUGAGAAUCUAUGUGGGAUUGAUAGGAUUAAUGAAUAAGUGGUAGGACUGGGUAUCAUUACUGAUGCUGUACCUGAGUUUCAGUACCAAUAUCAUUUUUGAUUAUUUUAAGAAAUAAAGCGAUUUCUCUACAGAACCCCUUUUGUCUGUUACAAUAGGGACCAGACUCCUCAAAUGUUUAAUGUUCCAAACCUGGUGUCAUGGGAUAAUUACCAUGAAGCAAACAAGACAUUUUUAUUUUCUAUCUAUAUUUUUGGGACAUUUAUCUAGUCUACUUUAUUUUUUUCCUAUAGUUGGUGCCAGGUAAAUUCUAAAAAUACAAUAUACAUCUCUGAUUCAAGAAUCUGGUCAGACAUUCAACGCCGGCUUUCAGUACUUGACAUUUCUUGAUACUUUGACACUUUUUAAUGGGUCCAAAAUAAUAUAUUGAGGUUUGAUACCCAGCCCUGCCUCUGCAGGGGAACUCUAUAACAGCUGCCUACACAUGCACUCACAGUGUUUAACAUAUCAGGCACAGGAUUUUUGAGAUUGAAUUAGUUAAAUUAGUCAAAGCAUUUGCUCUGUUCAGUAUUUGAAUAGAAAAGCCAUAAUUUUGGGAUAAGUGGUGUCUGCACAACACACUGCACAGCACCCUGUAACCUCAGCUUUAAACCAUAAUCAGAUCAGUAUCGGCUUUGCUUCAUUUGCACACGACUUGAUGCUGACGUUAAUGUUAACGGAUAGACCUCCAGUUUUGGUGGAGUUGAUAACAUUUUUGAGCAUUUUGAGGCCUAUACUUCACUCCUAAACUCACAGGGUUUUCUGAUUUUGUACAACAGCUGUACAUGAUUUAAAGUGAAUUUGCUGACAAGGCGUCUUUCAUAUCUGUGAGGGUAAUGUACCAUUCUCUGAUUAAGGCGUAUUUUUCUCACAAAUCAAACAUGUACCUGGUGUUUGUUUUUUUUCUUUGCCCAGUGCACUAAGAUCGGAUAUGUGAAUACAACUUCCACCUGUCUCUGAUACUCGUGUAGAGACAAAACUGGUCUCUGUCCAACUUUUAUUUUGAACAAUUUUCAGCGACUUCUGUCUCUAACAUACAUGCAGUCUUUCAAUUGGUACUUUGUACAAUUCAGUAUUACCAAGUUUUUGAGAAAAAAAGAUAAAUGUUCUAAGUUUAAAAGCA